GACUGUAGUCGUUGCAGUUAAAUCCUUAGGUCGCUGGUUCGAAUCCGGCAGGUCGGAUUUUUUUUCUUUAUUUUGCAAUUUUCCACUCCCAUUUUA
RNAcentral lists this small RNA (96 nucleotides) under Oryza sativa Japonica Group (Japanese rice). RNAcentral's name for it is "sRNA Os08g0407101". Lineage: Eukaryota; Viridiplantae; Streptophyta; Magnoliopsida; Poales; Poaceae. The record is from RNAcentral.